Molecule: ribosomal RNA, 218 nt
Filed under: uncultured bacterium
Lineage: Bacteria
Description: partial 16S ribosomal RNA
Rfam family: Bacterial small subunit ribosomal RNA
Source: RNAcentral
ACGCUCGACACCUACGGGAGGCAGCAGUGAGGAAUAUUGGUCAAUGGGGCGCUAGCCUGAACCAGCCAAGUAGCGUGAAGGAUGAAGGCUCUAUGGGUCGUAAACUUCUUUUAUAUAAGAAUAAAGUGCAGUAUGUAUACUGUUUUGUAUGUAUUAUAUGAAUAAGGAUCGGCUAACUCCGUGCCAACAGCCGCGGUAAUCUGAGCGGCUGGCAAGGC